Molecule: ribosomal RNA, 866 nt
Filed under: uncultured bacterium
Lineage: Bacteria
Description: bacterial SSU rRNA
Rfam family: Bacterial small subunit ribosomal RNA
Source: RNAcentral
AGUCUCUUGUGAANUCUAACGGCUUAACCGUUAAACUGCUUGAGAAACUGAUAAUCUAGAGUAAGGGAGAGGCAGAUGGAAUUCUUGGUGUAGGGGUAAAAUCCGUAGAGAUCAAGAAGAAUACCCCNUUGCGAAAGCGAUCUGCUGGAACUUAACUGACGCUAAUGCGUGAAAGCGUGGGGAGCAAACAGGAUUAGAUACCCUGGUAGUCCACGCCCUAAACGAUGUAUACUAGUUGUUGCUUCGCUAGUCGAGGCAGUAAUGCACCUAACGGAUUAAGUAUACCGCCUGGGGAGUACGGUCGCAAGAUUAAAACUCAAAGGAAUAGACGGGGACCCGCACAAGCGGUGGAGCAUGUGGUUUAAUUCGAAGAUACGCGAAGAACCUUACCCGGACUUGAUAUCUAACAAAUCAUCCAGAGAUGGAAGAGUGUCUGCUUGCAGAAAUGUUAAGACAGGUGCUGCACGGCUGUCGUCAGCUCGUGUCGUGAGAUGUUGGGUUAAGUCCCGCAACGAGCGCAACCCACGUCAUUAGUUGCUAACGGUUCGGCCGAGCACUCUAAUGAGACUGCCUUCGCAAGGAGGAGGAAGGUGUGGACGACGUCAAGUCAUCAUGGCCCUUAUGUCCGGGGCGACACACGUGCUACAAUGGCGUAUACAAUGAGACGCAAUAUCGCGAGAUGGAGCAAAUCUAUAAAAUACGUCCCAGUUCGGAUUGGAGUCUGCAACUCGACUCCAUGAAGCCGGAAUCGCUAGUAAUCGUAGAUCAGCCAUGCUACGGUGAAUACGUUCCCGGGUCUUGUACUCACCGCCCGUCACACCAUGGGAGUUGAUUUCACUCAAAGCCCAAAUACCAAACNGGUUAUG